GACGAACGCUGGCGGCGUGCUUAACACAUGCAAGUCGAACGAAGUGGCGAACGGGUGAGUAAUACGUGGGUAACCUGCCCUCCUUUUUGGGAUAAGCCUUGGAAACGUGGUCUAAUACCGAAUAAAGGGGGAUGGUCGCGCGGCCUAUCGGUUUGUUGGUGGGGUGAUGGCCUACCAAGGCGGUGACGGGUAGCCGGCCUGAGUGGGUGACCGGCAAAAUUGGGAGUGGGAUCCGGCCCAGAUACCUAGGGGGGGAAGAGGUGGGGGGUAUUGCAAAAGGGGGGAAAGCCUGAUGAAGCGAGGCGGCGUGGGGGAUGAAGGCUGUGGGGUUGUAAACCUCUUUCGCUAUCGAAAGGGUAGGUGGAGAAGAAGCGCCGGCUAACUACGUGCCAGCAGCCGCGGUAAUUC
This 408-nucleotide ribosomal RNA is filed under the name uncultured bacterium. RNAcentral's name for it is "partial 16S ribosomal RNA". It matches the Rfam family "Bacterial small subunit ribosomal RNA", at positions 28 to 526 of the family's 1533-position model. The record is from RNAcentral.